UUUAAAAAAGUAUAGCACCGGUGGCUUGAUAAGAUAUGGAUGAAUCAUGUCUCAUUUGUUUUGAAUUGAGUAUAUGUUUCUCUUGAUAUAAUUUUUGUACAUAAUAUCUAAUUAUAUUAUUCACUUUAAUCAUUAGAAUAUAUCCAUGUCUGGUCCCAUACUUCGAAUCCGAAUUAGUCAGAUUUCAAUGUAGAUUUCGAACAUCAAAUUUCAUAUACUUAUAGUAUUUAAGUUAAUAAUAUUGUCAUGAUAUACACGUGCAACACACGUACACUAAACUAGUAUAUUAAAAAUGUGAAGGGUCUGUUGUUUGAACUUUUUGCCCUUCAUUAAAAAUCUUUGUAAUCAUCUUUUCAUUAUUUUUUCUUAAUAUUUAAGAGUUAAAAAUUAAUUAAAUAUAUUUAUGGUAAAAUCUUUCUUUAUUAGAAGUUACGAGAAUUAAUGACAACUAAUAUUUUUUCAUUAGUUUAAGAAUUAAGUUUAAGAAGAUUUGAAAAAAUCUAUAAAUAAAUAUAAAAGAGUUAGAAUAAGAAAAAUUUGAGAAGUAUCAAAUUUUUAAAAAUUUUAAAUACGUAAUAAGAAUGUAAUCAAUGAUUUUGUAAUGAUUUGACUUUAAAAAUAAGAAAAAUUUUAAAUAUAAAAAAAAUUGUUACUACAAAUAUAGUUUAAAUCGAUGCGUCUCUCUUAGCGUCUGAUAGCAAGGGAAAAAAGUACUGCAUUACAACACAAAAGUGAUCCAUCAACUAUUUAAAAUUUCUGGUUGUAAAAUAUAUAUGUGCACUAAAUAUAUGUUUAUAUUUACAUUAUUAUAUUAAAGUAUGAAAGACUUUUGAAAGUGAUUUGACCUUUUUACACUUCAUUAAAAAAAUUUUCAAUAGACAAAUUCAUUUAAUUUUAAAUAAUUAAAUGUUACUCGUGCGAUUAAACUAGUAGUAUAUAUAAAAGGGAGAAUGUAAUUUUUGGGUGAUUAUUUGAUUACAUUUCAACUAAAUCUUACCAAUUAAAAAACUCACUUAAAAAUUUGCCCCUAUAAUUAUCUUUUAUUACUUUCUAUACUACAUAAAAGUCAAAGAACAUUCAAGCCUUUUUGGUAAAUACAGGAUUUCUAAAACUUCAAAAAUGAUGCAUAUACGGUAGCAUUUUCAUAUAUUCUUUUCAUAUAUUUCAUUUUUGCCUUUAAUAUAUUUCUUUAUUAGUUGAAUUGCUACAUUCAUUUUGAUAAGUUUAGAGGACUUCAAAAACCUUUUAAAAUGCUUAAGAAAGUGAACUUUGAUAAAACUUUUAAGAAAUUAUUGCUUUAGAAAUUCAGAAUAAAAAUUUGUACUUUUUUUUUAAAUUUUCACUUGCCAUAAUUCGUCUCACGAGAGUUAAUCUGAUUAAUUUUUUAAACUAAAUUAUUAUAUAUAUAAGUGAGAAUCCUCACUUUCAUCGUCAUCACAUUGUGAUUUCAUCUUACGAGGGGACUACACACAUGGCUGCUUUUUUGCUAUAUAACUUCAUUUUGGCUUUUAUUCAUUUUCUUAUAGCCAUUUCAAUUUUUGCCUUUCAUUUUUACUUUUUAUUUGUUUCUUAUAUUAAAAAUUUAUUAUUUUAUUUGCUUGUUUCAACUAAUCAUAAAAGGGUAUUUUAAUUUUUUUCUAUUUCCCUUCGAUCUUUUCUAAAGAAUUUCACAUGGAUCUUUUUAAUUGGUCAAUUUUUUUUUUAAUUUUUAUUAAUUUUUCUUCUUCUUUAUCUUAAAAGUAUUUGUCACAUUUCACUUUUCGAAAAUUAAAUUAUAUGCACUUUAAUCAAUAUUUUAAAAAAACAUCACUAAGUUGAUAAAAAUGUUGCGAUUUAUAGUUUUUAUUUUUCAUAAAAUAUUUGAAUAUCUAAUUUUUAAUUUUAAAUAUUUAAUUAAUUUAUCACAAUGUAGCUCCAAAUCCUAUCAAAUAGUCUGAAAUAUAAAAUGAUGAAAUCUUAACAACUUUUGAAGCAAAAUUUUCUUUUAUCACCGAAAACUAUAUCAACCUUUAAUAUUUUUGUUUCUUUAGUGACCUCAUACGUGCUUAUAAAUAAUAAAAAAAAAGAUCAAUCUGGUGCAUUAAAACUCCCGAUAUGUAUAUAAUUCGAAGAAAAAUUACAUCACAAGAAUCUAUCGUACGCAAUAUCACCUUACGAGACUGUUUAUAAAAUAUUCAUCUUAAAUUUUAUUUAAAAUAUCUAUAAAUUUAUUUGUUAAUGUUGAUUUGGGCCAUGCUUAUGACACUAAUUUGAAAUACAAACCAGCAAAGCCAUGACGUCAUUGCUUUUAUUGAUCAACUUUAAGAUCAACUUAAAUCCCAACUUUUAUUUUAGUGAGUGCAUUUAUAUGUUUUAUAUCUAUUUUUGUAUAUUUUUUUAUGUAAUUAUGUCUAUUCCGCAUCGAGUUUACUGGGUGCCCAAAAUUACAAGUAGGUCCGCCCUGCCAGGACCCUAUACAUCUUAUCUCAGGUAGGUCCGCCCCUGGCAGGACCGUAUACAUCUUAUCUUAUAUUACAUGUUCCACCUAUGCCAUGACAUCAUCAUUUUCAUUCUUUUCUUCUUUCAUGGGAUUCAUAAUUGGUGAUCAACACAGAUAUGGUCUUCUAUAUAACCAAUCAAAAGGGUACCAAUAACAGUCCAAUCCACAAAGUUCAGUUUCAGUAUCAAAGUUCAAGUUUGUAUAAGCCUUUGAGCCAAAAAAGAAAAAUGACAAGUAGCAAGAAAAUAGAGUUAAUCUUCAUUCCUUCUCCAGGAGUUGGUCAUUUAGUGUCCACAGUAGAAAUGACAAAGCUUCUCAUAACUAGAGAAAAACACAUGUCCAUUACAGUCCUCAUCAUGCAAUUACCUCAUGACAACAAGAUCUCUUCGUAUAUCAAAUCAGUCGCCAAUUUCAGUCCGCGUUUGAAAUUCAUUCAACUCCCUCAGGAUGACUCUGUGUUGCAGCUACUUCAGAGCAAUCUUUUCAUCUUGUUUGUUGCUGGUCAUAAGCCUGCAGUUAGAGAUGUUGUUGCUGAAAUUAUCAAGUCACAAUCACAUAUUACACUAGCAGGUAUUCAAAUUAAUUUCACUUAUGAUGAUUGUUUAACUUUAUCUGUCCAGGGAUUUUGUUCAGUGAUAAGCACACAACUUGUGAUUUAUAGAUUAGAUAUUCACGGCCGUAGCGUAUAACAUCUUAUGUUGCUGAACUUAUCAUAUUUCAUACAAUGGAAUACACAUCAGGUCUCAUGUAAAAAUCCUUCUUAAAAUGAGGAUAUUUUCCUUGGAAUACACAUCAGACAAAAGUUUGGUAUUUCCUACCAUGCCAAUUUAUGUGGCACUUUGUGGAUUUCGAAGGCCAAACAGUUUUUUUUACCGCGAUAUUUUCAUAUGCCUUUUUAAGUAUUUGAAAUUAUUAGUUAUUGUGACUUAUAGCUCUUUUUACGUAGUCUUAAAAUGCAAGUUUUAUUUCAAAAAUCUUAAAAGAUUCUAUACCUGAAUUCAUGGUACAAAUUUAAAACUAUGACUCUCAAAAUCUGAAUGAUACCACAUGCUACAUAAGUUGGGACAGAGGGAGUAUUUAGGUUGAGUAAACUUCUUUUUUUGUGUGUGUUACAGUGGAUAAAGGUUAGUAACUAUACGUGAAAUUAACAUGCAGGUAUUGUCAUCGACAUGUUUUGCACCUCUAUGAUAGACGUGGCCAAUGAAUUUGAGCUACCAACCUAUAUAUUCUACACCUGUGGUGCAGCCACUCUCGGUCUUAUGUUCCAUUUACAAAACCUUAGUGAUGAAUUUAACAGAGAUAUUACUAAUUACAAAGAUGAACCUGAAGCAGAACUUUCUAUAUCAACAUAUUUCAAUCCAUUUCCAGCAAAAUGUUUGCCCUCUGGAGUGUUGGACACGGAAGAUGGAGCCACCAUUCUCGAUCUUACACGAAGGUUUCGAGAAACCAAAGGCAUUAUGAUAAACACAUUUGUUGAACUCGAGCCCCAUGCAAUAAAAUCCCUUUCAAGAGACAAGAAUAUACCACCGGUAUACCCUGUCGGACCCGUGUUGAACCUUAAUAACGUUCAAGGUGACAACUUGAGUUCAUCAGACCAGAAUAUUAAGAAAUGGUUAGAUGAUCAACCCCCUUCAUCUGUAGCGUUCCUCUGUUUUGGUAGCGGAGGAAGUUUCGAAAAAGAGCAAGUUAAGGAAAUAGCUUAUGCUCUGGAGAAUAGUGGGUGUCGGUUUUUGUGGUCAUUGAGGCAACCACCACAGAAAGAUGCAAAGCUUCCAAGUGACUAUGAAAAUCUUGAAGAAGUAUUGCCAGAAGGGUUCUUGCAAAGAACACAAGGGAUUGGAAAGGUAUUGUUGUUGAUUUUUUCUUUUUAUUUCAUAUGGUGUCAGGUCAAUGCUUCAUUCUCAAACUUUAACCUGAAAUUUUGUGGUUAAGACUGAAGGGCUACUUAUCAUUCCACCAUAAAGUUUGGCGGCGUUGAUUUAUUUUAAAUGAUUUAAAACUAGUGUGAUAAAAAGAACAACAUUUUUAUAAAGAACAGCAUAUCCAUUUUUUUCGUAACUUUAUGUUUUUGGAAUACGUUGUCACUUGUUAUCUAGAUAGAAAAUCUACUCGAAGACAACGCAUUUAUAGAGCCUGUUUGGAUUGGCUUAUUUUAAGUGCUUUUAAGCACUUUUGUUUAGGAAAAAUAGAGAAGUGCUUUUAAACAAACCAAGAAGUCAUAAGUUAGAAUUCUGAACUUAUGGCUUAUUAAGCCAAAAGCUAUAAGCCCAUCCACACAGGCUCAUAGUGUACCAUUAUCUUUUCACAUCCACACUUCAUUUUAUCUUUUGUUACUUGCUAAUCAUAGCAUCUUAUUAUCUCCAAUUCUACUAUUUGCCUACAGGUGAUAGGAUGGGCACCUCAGUUGGCAAUUUUAUCUCACAAAGCAGUGGGAGGCUUUGUGUCACAUUGUGGAUGGAACUCGAGUUUGGAAAGCAUUUAUUUUGGAGUGCCAAUGGCUACUUGGCCAAUGUACGCAGAGCAGCAAGCGAAUGCAUUUCAAUUGGUUAAGGAUUUGGGAAUGGCAGUCGAGAUUAAAUUGGAUUACAGAAAGGAUCCGAAAGUGACGAUGGGCCAAGAAUUUAUAGUGAAAGCAGAGGAGAUUGAGAAAGCAAUAAGGGAACUUAUGGACCCGGAAAAUAAAAUCCGAAUUAAAGUAAAAGAGAUGAAGGAGAAGAGUAGAGCAGCAACCAUGGAAGGUGGCUCUUCUUACACGUCUAUUGGAGGUUUCAUCCAGAGUAUCAUGGAGAAUACUCGAUGAUUAGCCGUUUUUUCUGGCUAAUAGCACUGGAUAUAUGACAGUAUAAUAAUACAAUUUAUGUGCAUUUUGUAGUUUGAUCGAUAUAGUUGGUUAUGCACCCUCGUUCUAAGUUAUUAGUAAAGGUUUUGCCUAUGCUGAGCACAACCCAAAAUUGUGUUGGUUGUUGUAAUAUCUUUUCUUAAUCUCAAUUUGUUUCAUGUGACAUCAAACUACAGGCUCCUAUUAACUCUGCAAUAAACUAUAACAUACAAUCAUGUAACUUUUUGUCGGAAUUUUCUUUCCCAUAGUCAACAUGUUGUCGUUGUUGUAUCGAAUGAAAUUGUAAAAAAGGUUCCUACUUGGUGUUGAUUACAGUCAUACAACUUGAGAUGCUCUUUUGCUCAAGUUAGGAAAAAUACAAUCAUUGGGGAAGAGAGUAUACAGGAAAGUACCUUUCCGAGAUAAGAUUGCCCAAUACUCGAUGCAUUGGUGGGAAGAAAAAAUUUCUCCGUUUUGGGAUCAGAGCUCCAAGGUAACUCGCUCAUGUUUGGUUUCUCCACAUAGGCCAUGGUAAACUCUCCCAUCUUUUCCGCCCUGCCUCGCCAACCUGCCCUUAACACAUGCUUCUUGUUGAGGUACGAAAAGAUCCCAUUUUCCAACCGGAUAAUAUCCCCAGGCUCAAAAGCAUCGCAUUCAUCACCCCACAUUUGAAAUUGAACUGCAGCUGUCUCAUCUGCUACUAAUGCCAGACAGGUCUUUUGUUGCUCUUCUACACCUGUCCUACCUUUGUUUUUUUGAGACAAAGCUAUCCUCCCUUUCUCCAAAACAAUAAAUUUUGUGUUUAUAUUGUUCUCAGCUGCUGGUACGAUGUCUUUUAGAGACUGCAUCCUCUUGCAAUAUGAUAAAAUGUCUGCAACCAAAGGCAAAAAAGAUAACAAAAUACUAGAAAAAAUUUAGCUUUUAAAAUUAGAAAAAAAACAUUAAACUUUUUCCGCACUAUUUUCUCAAUCAAGAAAAGAGGUACCCAUAUAUUUUUCAAUUUAAUGAAUUUUUUUUCACAAUUUCUUGGUCAUAUUUACUAUAUUCUCCUGAUUAUGUAAUAUGUGAUCUCUUGAACAGAUUACUUAAAUGACAAGAACUUUUAAUACGGCUUUCUAUCAAACAUGUGGAGUGCAUAGGUUGUGACAGAAUUUCACAUUACCUCGAACCACAAGAACACCAAAUUUAUGACUCAGAAUUAUUUAAUUCAAAACGCAAGUAGAUACUGAAAGCCUCUAGGAACUUCGCCUUCAAAAACCUAGUUGACGUAGAAAGUUCAGUUUGGAAUUUCGUGGCUGUUGAUGGAACUAUGAUGUGAAUUCAUGUGUAUGUUAUCUCAUUUGUUUGUUAAUGAAAAGGACUAAAGAUUAUAUGAUAAUAAUAAGAUUAAUAAAACUUUGUUGUAUAUUAUCCUGAUCUCAGAAACAAAUGACUGGUUAUCAUUGCACGUUCUUUUUUAGCAGUUGUGACUUAUAAUUGUUUAAAGUAUUUGUUUGACUCUUGCUGGUUGAUGUUACUGGUAAGUCACCAGAUUGACACUUAGGUUGUUGUUGGACUAUAAUGUUACGAAAUAAUUCGGAGAAAGUUGGAAACUGUAGAACGAAAUUGCAAAGAAUUAUUCAUGAUGUGGCUGAUAUAUUAUCUAUUCAAUUAUCUACCGGGAUCUCAUCUGUGGGCGGCUUUUAAAAGGCUAUCAUUUGUAUGACGAGAUGCUAACCUAGGUCUGUACAUUCCAACAGGCCUCCUUAGGAUUUCGACAACAUAAUCAAAGGAUGACAUAUUUCAGGAUUUGGAGACAGGACCACAAAAGUCUGUUGCACCAUUUUUGCAAGAGGCUAUGUCCACAGGAACCUGUGAUGACCUCCAAUUACGUAACAGUAACUUUACAUGUUAUUUCAAAGCUCUCUUUCGAAAAAAGUUGAAACAAGAGGAGAGUAAACCUUGUAUUCAUUGGACUUGAAUGACACUGGCCCGUCAUCUUAGUGGACCAAGCAAAAAAGGUGGUGGUGUGGUCUAGUUAGGCAGCCCAUCAGUUGAAUGACACUGGCCCGUCAUCUUAGUGGACCAAGCAAAAAAGGUGGUGGUCUAGUUAGGCAGCCCAUCAGGCAUUCCUUCCUUGGACUUGUGUGACACCGGCCAGUGAUCAUCUUAGCAGACCAAGGAAAAAAAGUGGUGGUCUAGUUAGGCAGCCCAUCAGGCAUUCCUUGGACUUGUGCAACACCGGCCUGUAAUCCUUCCACUGCCCAAAGCGGGAGCUGUUCGUUGCUCUGUGCAACCAGCCUCACGCAAUCCACCCCACUUUAGGAGCCAAGUUGCCCAAGCCUUCGCCUGGACCACGUGACCCAACUCUGUGCUUGGAGAGGGCAGGCCAGAGAAUCGCAACACAAGCCCUACCCUUUGGACAGGCCUACGCAUUCUACCACAUUAAUGCCCCCACUUGGGUUACAAGCCCAUGUUACUGAGCUCAGCAAUAUGAGGUGUGUUCUCUAGUGCUAAUAAAGAGGCAAAUAACUAUGUGUAUCAGCAAUGUGGGAGAACACUUGGGGAAAAAAAGGAUAAAUUAUGUCUAGGAAACGAUAAAUUGUCAUCUUUUCCUUUUCUUUUUAUAAAACUUUGUUGCUUCACAGUCUGCC
This 7930-nucleotide long non-coding RNA is filed under the name Capsicum annuum. RNAcentral describes it as "long non-coding RNA (CANN_LNC018004)". Lineage: Eukaryota; Viridiplantae; Streptophyta; Magnoliopsida; Solanales; Solanaceae. The record is from RNAcentral.